GACGAACGCUGGCGGCGUGCUUAACACAUGCAAGUCGAACGGAAAGGCCCUGCUUUUGUGGGGUGCUCGAGUGGCGAACGGGUGAGUAACACGUGAGUAACCUGCCCUUGACUUUGGGAUAACUUCAGGAAACUGGGGCUAAUACCGGAUAGGAGCUCCUGCUGCAUGGUGGGGGUUGGAAAGUUUCGGCGGUUGGGGAUGGACUCGCGGCUUAUCAGCUUGUUGGUGGGGUAGUGGCUUACCAAGGCUUUGACGGGUAGCCGGCCUGGGAGGGUGACCGGCGACAUUGGGACUGAGAUACGGCCCAGACUCCUACGGGAGGCAGCAGUGGGGAAUAUUGCACAAUGGGCGGAAGCCUGAUGCAGCAACGCCGCGUGCGGGAUAACGGCCUUCGGGUUGUAAACCGCUUUCGCCUGUGACGAAGCGUGAGUGACGGUAAUGGGUAAAGAAGCACCGGCUAACUACGUG
RNAcentral lists this ribosomal RNA (468 nucleotides) under uncultured bacterium. RNAcentral's name for it is "partial 16S ribosomal RNA". It matches the Rfam family "Bacterial small subunit ribosomal RNA", at positions 28 to 507 of the family's 1533-position model. The record is from RNAcentral.